CCAGGUCCUAGCCUCGUCACCAUGGGUUCCGGUCAGACACGAGUCCUGGUGACUUUGUAUAGGCGUGUUCUCUGUGUACCGCAUCUUAUUGUGUUAAUGGCUUUCUUAUUUUUAUCUCUACAGAGGAACUUUUCUUCCAUGGCUCAGGACAUACAUCUGGAUCAAACUAAGAGAACUUUCUGUGUGGACCUAAGCCCCGAGACCCUCGAAAGGGCUACUGCUGAAGAUGACGAGUGUCCGUUGCAAGCUGGCCCAGUAUCUAGAGGACCUUGAAGAUAUAGACCUCAAGAAAUUCAAAAUGCAUUUGGAAGAUUACCCGCCCGAGAAAGGCUGUAUCCCAGUCCCCAGGGGCCAGAUGGAGAAGGCAGAUCACUUGGAUCUAGCCACACUCAUGAUUGACUUCAAUGGCGAGGAGAAGGCCUGGGCCAUGGCUGUGUGGAUCUUUGCCGCGAUCAACAGGCGAGACCUCUGGGAAAAAGCUAAGAAGGACCAGCCAGAGUGGAAUGACGCGUGUACAUCUCAUUCCUCUAUGGUAUGCCAGGAGGACAGCAUUGAAGAAGAGUGGAUGGGUUUGCUGGGAUAUCUCUCCCGCAUCUCCAUUUGUAAAAAAAAGAAAGAUUACUGUAAGAUGUACAGAAGACAUGUGAGAAGCAGGUUCUACUCUAUCAAGGACAGGAACGCGCGUCUGGGUGAGAGUGUGGACCUCAACAGUCGCUACACGCAGCUCCAACUGGUCAAGGAGCAUCCGAGCAAGCAGGAGCGGGAGCAUGAACUCCUGACCAUCGGCCGGACUAAAAUGCGGGACAGCCCCAUGAGUUCCCUUAAGCUGGAGCUGCUAUUUGAGCCCGAGGACGGGCACUCGGAGCCUGUGCGCACGGUGGUGUUCCAGGGAGCAGCAGGCAUCGGGAAAACCAUCCUAGCCAGGAAGAUUAUGUUGGACUGGGCACUGGGAAAGCUCUUCAAAGACAAAUUUGACUAUUUGUUCUUUAUCCACUGCCGAGAGGUGAGCCUCAGGACGCCAAGGAGUCUAGCGGACCUGAUUGUCAGCUGCUGGCCUGACCCAAACCCACCUGUGUGCAAGAUCCUGCGCAAGUCUUCCAGGAUCCUCUUCCUCAUGGAUGGCUUUGAUGAGCUACAAGGGGCCUUUGACGAGCACAUUGGGGAGGUCUGCACAGACUGGCAAAAGGCUGUGCGGGGAGACAUUCUGCUAAGCAGCCUCAUCCGAAAGAAACUGCUGCCCAAGGCCUCUCUGCUCAUAACGACGAGGCCGGUAGCCUUGGAGAAACUGCAGCAUCUCCUGGACCACCCCCGCCACGUGGAGAUCCUAGGCUUCUCUGAGGCCAAAAGGAAGGAGUAUUUCUUUAAGUAUUUCUCCAACGAGCUGCAGGCCCGGGAGGCCUUCCGGCUGAUCCAAGAGAAUGAGGUCCUCUUUACCAUGUGCUUCAUCCCCCUGGUCUGCUGGAUUGUGUGCACGGGGCUAAAGCAACAGAUGGAGACUGGGAAGAGCCUAGCCCAGACCUCCAAGACCACUACGGCCGUCUACGUCUUCUUCCUUUCCAGCCUGCUGCAAUCCCGGGGGGCCAUUGAGGAGCAUCUCUUCUCUGACUACCUGCAGGGGCUCUGUUCACUGGCUGCGGAUGGAAUUUGGAACCAGAAAAUCCUAUUUGAGGAGUGUGAUCUGUGGAAGCACGGCCUGCAGAAGACUGACGUCUCUGCUUUCCUGAGGAUGAACGUGUUCCAGAAGGAAGUGGACUGCGAGAGAUUCUACAGCUUCAGCCACAUGACUUUCCAGGAGUUCUUCGCUGCUAUGUACUAUUUGCUGGAAGAGGAGGCAGAGGGGGUGACCGUGAGGAAAGGGCCAGGAGGUUGUUCAGAUCUUCUGAACCGAGACGUGAAGGUCCUACUAGAAAAUUAUGGGAAGUUUGAAAAAGGCUAUCUGAUUUUUGUUGUCCGAUUCCUCUUUGGCCUUGUAAACCAGGAGAGAACCUCCUAUUUGGAGAAGAAACUAAGCUGCAAGAUCUCUCAGCAAGUCAGACUGGAGCUACUGAAGUGGAUUGAAGUGAAAGCCAAGGCCAAGAAGCUGCAGUGGCAGCCCAGCCAACUGGAACUGUUCUACUGCCUGUACGAGAUGCAGGAGGAAGACUUUGUGCAGAGCGCCAUGGACCACUUUCCCAAAAUUGAGAUCAACCUCUCUACCAGAAUGGACCAUGUGGUUUCCUCCUUUUGUAUUAAGAACUGUCAUAGGGUCAAAACGCUUUCCCUGGGGUUUUUUCACAACUCGCCCAAGGAGGAAGAAGAAGAGAGGAGAGGAGGUCGACCCUUGGACCAGGUUCAGUGUGUUUUCCCAGACACUCAUGUUGCCUGUUCUUCCAGACUGGUGAACUGCUGCCUCACUUCUAGCUUCUGCCGUGGUCUCUUCUCAAGUCUAAGCACCAACCGGAGCCUCACUGAAUUGGACCUCAGUGACAAUACUCUGGGAGACCCGGGCAUGAGGGUGCUGUGUGAGGCACUCCAGCACCCAGGCUGUAACAUUCAGAGACUGUGGUUGGGGCGCUGCGGACUGUCCCAUCAAUGCUGCUUCGACAUCUCCUCUGUCCUGAGCAGCAGCCAGAAGCUGGUGGAGCUGGACCUCAGUGACAAUGCCCUGGGGGACUUUGGAGUCAGAUUGCUGUGUGUGGGACUGAAGCAUCUGCUCUGCAACCUCCAGAAACUCUGACUGUACAUUGGAGAAAAUGCCUUGGGAGACUCAGGAGUCCAGGUUUUGUGUGAAAAGAUGAAGGACCCACAAUGUAACUUGCAGAAGCUGGGGUUGGUGAAUUCCGGCCUUACUUCAAUCUGUUGUUCAGCUCUGACCUCUGUGCUCAAAACCAACCAGAACUUCACACACCUCUACCUACGAAACAACGCCCUUGGAGACACGGGACUCAGGCUUCUCUGUGAGGGGCUUCUGCACCCGGACUGUAAACUACAGAUGCUGGAAUUAGACAACUGCAGCCUCACCUCACACAGCUGCUGGAAUCUCUCCACAAUUCUGACCCACAACCACAGCCUUCGGAAGCUGAACCUGGGUAACAACGAUUUGGGCGAUCUGUGCGUGGUGACCCUCUGUGAGGUGCUGAAACAACAGGGCUGCCUCCUGCAGAGCCUACAGUUGGGUGAAAUGUACUUAAAUCGUGAAACAAAACGUGCCUUAGAAGCACUCCAGGAAGAAAAGCCUGAGCUGACUAUUGUCUUCGAGAUUUCCUGGUAGGUGUGGAAGCAGGACUACCAGGUGCCUCUGUCCUGCCCCAAGUCCUGCCCCAAGCCCCAGUGCGCACUGUUCUUCACUGCUAUCAAGCCCUCCUUCACCAUCAGGAUCACAGCCGAGGCUCUUCUGGUAUAGGGUCUGGAGCAAAGGCUUGUGUGGGACCAAACUUGUUUCCUCACAUCGAUAACGUGAAACUGCCAGAGGCUGCCCUUCCCGCCAUAUCCUCAGUGGGCAAGGUGUUCCCUCUUGGUGACUUCAUGGAAACAGCUUCUAGAAAACACCUUUUCUGUCCUCCCUCCCCUUCCUCCUCCUCCCCCUCUCCCUCCUCUUCCCCCCCCUUCCUCCUCCUCCACUUCUCCCCCCACCUGUCUUUCUCUCUCUGGGUCUCCAGUUUUUUGACCUUUGCCCAUACCUUCGGUCUUGUCUUCCUGUUAACUGACCAUCCCGCAUAAGGAGCUACCUGCGGGCUAGAUGGAAGGUUUGUGGCAGCCUCUCAGCUACAUUAUUUGUUUUUAUUUUUUAAUAGUUAUGAUUUCUAUUUAGCUACCUGAAAACUCAGAGAUUUAUAAAACCUAUUUUUGUAUUUAUUGUAUGUUUGUACUGCUUUCUUAAUUUAAAAAUGUAUCUAGAAUUCUUUUAAGUUAUUUAUCCAAACUACUAAAAAUAAAUCAGUUUACACAUUUAAAA
Non-coding RNA from Mus caroli (Ryukyu mouse), 3934 nucleotides. The record is from RefSeq and is a predicted model, not a curated record. Lineage: Eukaryota; Metazoa; Chordata; Mammalia; Rodentia; Muridae.